GAAAACCACGGUGGUACAGGAUGGGCCCGCGUCUGAUUAGUUAGUUGGCAGGGUAACGGCCUACCAAGACGAUGAUCAGUAGCCGGCUUGAGAGAGUGGACGGCCACAUUGGGACUGAGACACGGCCCAGACUCCUGCGGGAGGCAGCAGUGGGGAAUAUUGCACAAUGGGGGGAACCCUGAUGCAGCAAUGCCGCGUGGGUGAAGAAGCACUCCGGUGCGUAAAGCCCUGUCAGCAGGGAAGAAAAUGACAGUACCUGACCAAGAAGCCCCGGCUAACUACGUGCCAGCAGCCGCGGUAAUACGUAGGGGGCAAGCGUUAUCCGGAUUUACUGGGUGUAAAGGGAGCGCAGGCGGUAUGGCAAGUCAGAUGUGAAAACCCAGGGCUCAACCCUGGGACUGCAUUUGAAACUGCCAUACUGGAGUGCCGGAGAGGUAAGUGGAAUUCCUAGUGUAGCGGUGAAAUGCGUAGAUAUUAGGAGGAACACCAGUGGCGAAGGCGGCUUACUGGACGGUAACUGACGCUGAGGCUCGAAAGCGUGGGGAGCAAACAGGAUUAGAUACCCUGGUAGUCCACGCUGUAAACGAUGAAUACUAGGUGUCGG
This 604-nucleotide ribosomal RNA is filed under the name uncultured bacterium. RNAcentral describes it as "bacterial SSU rRNA". It matches the Rfam family "Bacterial small subunit ribosomal RNA", at positions 202 to 826 of the family's 1533-position model. The record is from RNAcentral.